UGCUAUAUUUCCAGAGCACUAAGGUCCGGGAAUAAUACAGUCUGGAAGUUUUCUAUGCAACUGCCAGUCCAUGGCACCGGAUGACAUCGGCUUGGGAAUUUUACUUAUCAUCCUCGCUGCUUUUGCUACUGCGAUUAAACGACCUAAAACACCAAAACUAUUCGGGGCCUUGUGUAACACAACUAGAGAGUGCAACAUCGGACAGAAGCUGGCGUGCCUUAUAAUACCCAAAGGGAAGCUGAUAGAGUGCAUACCGUGCUAUGAAAGCUGUGAAACGUAUUGGGUAUACUAUUGCAAAAGGCCUUACGUACCCAUCUGCAAGAAUGAGCCCACUGAAUGCAAAUGCUGUUGUGGAAGAAAAUCAGGAUGGUUAUCAAGAAUUCUCAGAAUGUGCUUCUAGGUGGCUUGGUGCCUAAACAAUAGGCACUUGGGGCGUAGGGUAUGGGGAGUCGAGAACAUAUUUUAUAACAAUUUUCUGGAGCCAUUGGAAUCGGUGCGCCAGCCCAGCAGCAUCUUUCUUGGAGGCUGUACUAUGGCAUUUGCUGGGCCACAAAGCAUUCACAAAGACAAUUUUCAGCGAGUAUGGAGCUUUCUGUCAAGCGAAAAAUCUCUCAAGCUAGCAAUAUGUGCUAA
This 633-nucleotide long non-coding RNA is filed under the name Rhipicephalus microplus (southern cattle tick). RNAcentral describes it as "uncharacterized LOC119167929, transcript variant X2". Lineage: Eukaryota; Metazoa; Arthropoda; Arachnida; Ixodida; Ixodidae. The record is from RNAcentral.